GGCUCAGUGGUGGACGGUCCACACCCAUGAUUCAUACCCUGUAUUUAAUGCUGCAUUGAUGUGGGAAUCGCCCGUUCGACUCGGGCCCGAGCCA
Mycena capillaripes is the source of this 94-nucleotide non-coding RNA. The record is from the annotation of a GenBank genome assembly. Lineage: Eukaryota; Fungi; Basidiomycota; Agaricomycetes; Agaricales; Mycenaceae.